AGUCACUGACAUUAGAUACCCGUGUAGUCCAGGGUGUAAACGCUGCAGACUUGGUGUUGGAGGCCCUUUGGGGGCAUUCAGUGCCGGAGAGAAGUCGUUAAGUCUGCUACUUGGGAGUACGUCCGCAAGGAUGAAACUUAAAGGAAUUGGCGGGGGAGCACCGCAACGGGAGGAGCGUGCGGUUUAAUUGGAUUCAACACCGUAAAACUCACCAGGGAAGACUGUUACAUGAAGGCCGAGAUGAAGACUCUGCUAGAUUUUCAG
Molecule: ribosomal RNA, 264 nt
Filed under: uncultured archaeon
Lineage: Archaea
Description: partial 16S ribosomal RNA
Rfam family: Archaeal small subunit ribosomal RNA
Source: RNAcentral